GACGAACGCUGGCGGCGUGCUUAACACAUGCAAGUCGAACGGAAAGGCCCUGCGUUUGUGGGGUGCUCGUGUGGCGAACGGGUGAGUAACACGUGAGUAACCCGCCCUUGACUUUGGGAUAACUUCAGGAAACUGGGGCUAAUACCGGAUAGGAGCUUCUGCUGCACGGUGGUGGUUGGAAAGUUUCGGCGGUUGGGGAUGGACUCGCGGCGUAUCAGCUUGUUGGUGGAGUAGUGGCUUACCAAGGCUUUGACGGGUAGCCGGCCUGAGAGGGUGACCGGCCACAUUGGGACUGAGAUAAGGCACAGACUCCUACGGGAGGGAGAAGGGGGGAAGAUUGCAGGAUGGGCGGAAGCCUGAUGCAGCAACGCCGCGUGCGGGAUAACGGCCUUCGGGUUGAAGACCGCUUGCGCCUGUGACGAAGCGUGAGUGACGGGAAUGGGUAAAGAAGCACCGGCUAACUACGUG
RNAcentral lists this ribosomal RNA (468 nucleotides) under uncultured bacterium. RNAcentral describes it as "partial 16S ribosomal RNA". It matches the Rfam family "Bacterial small subunit ribosomal RNA", at positions 28 to 507 of the family's 1533-position model. The record is from RNAcentral.